Molecule: ribosomal RNA, 233 nt
Filed under: uncultured bacterium
Lineage: Bacteria
Description: partial 16S ribosomal RNA
Rfam family: Bacterial small subunit ribosomal RNA
Source: RNAcentral
CGGGACGGGUGAGUAAUGUCUGGGAAACUGCCUGAUGGAGGGGGAUAACUACUGGAAACGGUAGCUAAUACCGCAUAACGUCGCAAGACCAAAGAGGAGGACCUUAGGGCCUCUUGCCAUCGGAUGUGCCCAGAUGGGAUUAGCUAGUAGGUGGGGUAACGGCUCACCUAGGCGACGAUCCCUAGCUGGUCUGAGAGGAUGACCAGCCACACUGGAACUGAGACACGGUCCAG